Molecule: ribosomal RNA, 498 nt
Filed under: uncultured bacterium
Lineage: Bacteria
Description: partial 16S ribosomal RNA
Rfam family: Bacterial small subunit ribosomal RNA
Source: RNAcentral
AUUGAACGCUGGCGGCAUGCCUUACACAUGCAAGUCGAACGGUAACAGGUCUUCGGAUGCUGACGAGUGGCGAACGGGUGAGUAAUACAUCGGAACGUGCCUAGUAGUGGGGGAUAACUACUCGAAAGAGUGGCUAUUACCGCAUGAGAUCUACGGAUGAAAGCAGGGGAUCGCAAGACCUUGUGCUACUAGAGCGGCCGAUGGCAGAUUAGGUAGUUGGUGGGAUAAAAGCUUACCAAGCCGACGAUCUGUAGCUGGUCUGAGAGGACGAUCAGCCACACUGGGACUGAGACACGGCCCAGACUCCUACGGGAGGCAGCAGUGGGGAAUUUUGGACAAUGGGCGAAAGCCUGAUCCAGCAAUGCCGCGUGCAGGAUGAAGGCCUUCGGGUUGUAAACUGCUUUUGUACGGAACGAAAAGCCCCGGGUUAAUACCCUGGGGUCAUGACGGUACCGUAGGAAUAAGCACCGGCUAACUACGUGCCAGCCGCCGCGGUAA